RNAcentral lists this small RNA (99 nucleotides) under Lelliottia amnigena. RNAcentral's name for it is "Enterobacteria rnk leader". It matches the Rfam family "Enterobacteria rnk leader", at positions 15 to 108 of the family's 109-position model. Lineage: Bacteria; Pseudomonadati; Pseudomonadota; Gammaproteobacteria; Enterobacterales; Enterobacteriaceae. The record is from RNAcentral.
CGAUGAAUGUGACAUUCAUCACUUCAAACUUCGGUGUUCAGCCAGUAUCAUCAGGAGAGAUAAAACCCUCGCUGCCAUACGGCGAGGGUUUUCUUUUGG